GACGAACGCUGGCGGCGUGCCUAAUACAUGCAAGUAGAACGCUGAAGGAGGAGCUUGCUUCUCCGGAUGAGUUGCGAACGGGUGAGUAACGCGUAGGUAACCUGCCUGGUAGCGGGGGAUAACUAUUGGAAACGAUAGCUAAUACCGCAUAACAGUAGAUAUCGCAUGAUAUCUGCUUGAAAGGUGCAAUUGCAUCACUACCAGAUGGACCUGCGUUGUAUUAGCUAGUUGGUGAGGUAACGGCUCACCAAGGCGACGAUACAUAGCCGACCUGAGAGGGGGAUCGGCCACACUGGGACUGAGACACGGCCCAGACUCCUACGGGAGGCAGCAGUAGGGAAUCUUCGGCAAUGGACGGAAGUCUGACCGAGCAACGCCGCGUGAGUGAAGAAGGUUUUCGGAUCGUAAAGCUCUGUUGUAAGAGAAGAAAGAGGGUGAGAGUGGAAAGUUCACACUGUGACGGUAUCUUACCAGAAAGGGACGGCUAACUACGUG
This 495-nucleotide ribosomal RNA is filed under the name uncultured bacterium. RNAcentral's name for it is "partial 16S ribosomal RNA". It matches the Rfam family "Bacterial small subunit ribosomal RNA", at positions 28 to 507 of the family's 1533-position model. The record is from RNAcentral.